This 3006-nucleotide ribosomal RNA is filed under the name Limnochordaceae bacterium. Its description in RNAcentral is "23S ribosomal RNA". It matches the Rfam family "Bacterial large subunit ribosomal RNA". The record is from RNAcentral. Lineage: Bacteria; Bacillati; Bacillota; Limnochordia; Limnochordales; Limnochordaceae.
GGUCAAGCGAAGAAGGGCCUACGGUGGAUGCCUGGGCGCCUGGGGCCGAAGAAGGACGGGGCAAGCGCCGAAACGCUCCGGGGAGCCGCAAGCGGGCAUUGAUCCGGAGAUAUCCGAAUGGGGCAACCCGCACCGGGUGAUGCCGGUGCAUCCGGCGCUGAAUCCAUAGGCGUCGGAAGGGAACCCGGGGAAGUGAAACAUCUCAGUACCCGGAGGAGGAGAAAGCAACUGCGAUUCCCUUAGUAGCGGCGAGCGAACGGGGAAGAGCCCAAACCGGCCGGAUGGCAAAGCCCACCGGCGUUGUCCGGCCGGGGUUGGAGGGCUGUACGGCGGGUGGCGGUGGCCGCCCGGGCCGGGAUGCGGGAGCGAGGCGAAGGGGUCUGGAAGGGCCCACCAUAGCGGGUGAGAGUCCCGUAGCCGAAGCUUUGGCAUCCGGGUGGUACAGUACCUGAGUACCACGGGGCACGAGGAAUCCUGUGGGAAGCGGGGAGGCCCACCUCCCAAGGCUAAAUACGCCAGGCGACCGAUAGCGGACCAGUACCGCGAGGGAACGGUGAAAAGCACCCCUGACGGGGAGUGAAACAGAACCUGAAACCGUAGGCCUGCAAAGCAGUCGGAGGGCCAGGCCCUACCCAGGGCGGCCUGACGGCGUCCUUAUUGAGGAACGGGCCGGCGAGUGGCGGUAGGCAGCGAGGGGAAGGGGCAGAAGCUCCGGACCCGGAGGGAAACCGAGUCCGAACAGGGCGACGAGUUGCCUGCUGCCGACCCGAAGCCGGGUGAUCUACCCAUGGCCAGGGUGAAGCCGGGUUAACCCCCGGUGGAGGCCCGAACCACGUGGUCGUUGAAAAGACCUGGGAAGAGCUGUGGGUAGGGGUGAAAUGCCAAUCGAACCCGGUGAUAGCUGGUUCUCCCCGAAAUCGCUUGAGGGCGAGCCUUCCGGGGGACGGUGGCGGAGGUAGAGCACUGAUCGGGUGAGGGGUCGUUACGGCUACCGAUCCCGUUCAAACUCCGAAUGCCGCCAUCGGGUCCGGAGGAGUCAGACGGCGGGGGAUAAGCUUCGUCGUCGAGAGGGGAACAGCCCAGACCGGCCGCUAAGGUCCCGAAGUGCAGGCUGAGUGGGUAAGGAUGUGGGGUCGCCCAGACAACCAGGAUGUGGGCUUAGAGGCAGCCAUCAUUCAAAGAGUGCGUAAUAGCUCACUGGUCAAGCGGCCCUGCGCCGAAAAUGGAACGGGACUAAGCCUGCCACCGAAGCGCCGGACGGCCCGGAGCACCGGGUCGUGGUAGGGGAGCAUUCCGCUUCCGGCGAAGCCCGAGCGCAAGCCCGGGUGGAGGGGGCGGAAGGGAGAAUGUCGGCAUAAGUAGCGACAAGGCCGGUGAGAAUCCGGCCCGCCGAAAGCCGGAGGGUUCCUGAGCAAGGUUCGUCCGCUCAGGGUUAGUCGGGACCUAAGCCGAGGCCGAAAGGCGUAGGCGAUGGACAACGGGUUGAUAUUCCCGUACCACCUCGUGCCGUGACGAGCGAGGGGGGGACGCAGGGGGGCCAGCCAGCCCGGCGGUGGAGAGGCCGGGUCCAAGCGCCUAGGCGGGAGCGGCAGGCAAAUCCGCCGCUCCACGACGCCGAGACGUGACGGGGAGCGCCCGCAAGGGUGCGAACUGGGGACGCCCGGACUGCCGAGAAAAGCCUCUAGCCAGGCACGAGGUGCCCGUACCGCAGACCGACACAGGUCGGCGAGGCGAAAAGCCACAGGCGCGCGAGAGAACCCCCGUUAAGGAACUCGGCAAGUUGACCCCGUAACUUCGGGAGAAGGGGUGCCCCGGUAGGGUGAGAGCCCCAAGCGGGCUCGAGCCCGAGGGGGCCGCAGGAAACGGCCCAGGCGACUGUUUACCAAAAACACAGGUCUCUGCGAAGCCGCAAGGCGACGUAUAGGGGCUGACGCCUGCCCAGUGCCGGAAGGUUAAGGGGAGAGGUUAGCCCGCAAGGGCGACGCUUCGAACCAAAGCCCCGGUGAACGGCGGCCGUAACUAUAACGGUCCUAAGGUAGCGAAAUUCCUUGUCGGGUAAGUUCCGACCUGCACGAAUGGCGUCACGACCUGGGCGCUGUCUCAACGGGGGGCUCGGCGAAAUUGUGGAAGGAGUGAAGACGCUCCUUACCCGCGGCUAGACGGAAAGACCCCGUGGAGCUUUACUGCAGCCUGGUAUGGGAUGCCGGUCGGGGAUGUAGAGGAUAGGUGGGAGGCGCAGAAGCCGGGGCGCCAGCUCCGGUGGAGCCGACGGUGGAAUACCACCCUUCUCGGGCGGGCGUUCUAACCCGGGCCCGUGAUCCGGGCCGGGGACAGUACCUGGUGGGCAGUUUGACUGGGGCGGUCGCCUCCCAAACGGUAACGGAGGCGUCCCAAGGUUCCCUCAGCGCGGUCGGACAUCGCUGCUGCGAGUGCAAAGGCAUAAGGGAGCUUGACUGCGAGAGCGACAGCUCGAGCAGGCGCGAAAGCGGGGCUUAGUGACCCGGUGGUGCCGAGUGGAAGGGCCAUCGAUCAACGGAUAAAAGCUACCCCGGGGAUAACAGGCUGAUCUCCCCCGAGAGUCCACAUCGACGGGGAGGAUUGGCACCUCGAUGUCGGCUCAUCGCAUCCUGGGGCUGGAGUCGGUCCCAAGGGUUGGGCUGUUCGCCCAUUAAAGCGGUACGUGAGCUGGGUUCAGAACGUCGUGAGACAGUUCGGUCCCUAUCUGCCGCGGGCGCCGGAGAUCUGCGGGGAGCCGUCCCCAGUACGAGAGGACCGGGACGGACGCACCGCUGGUGUGCCAGUUGUCCUGCCCGGGGCACGGCUGGACAGCUACGUGCGGACGGGAUAAGCGCUGAAGGCAUCUAAGCGCGAAGCCCACCCCCAGAUGAGAUCUCCCCCCUCCUCGGGAGGGUAAGACCCCUGGAAGAUGACCAGGUGAUAGGCCGGGGGUGUACGGCGGGUAACCGCCUCAGCUACCCGGUCCUAAUCGGUCGAGGGCUUGACCGC